UCUUCAUUGACCAACGUUAGUCCACAAGAAAACUCCUAUAGAAGAUUGGCGUGAAGAAGGCUAUUGGUUGGGCAUAUGCUAGAGGGGAUCAUGUAACAUUGGAGCAUUUGUUUGUAUACUGGCUUGCACCCAUUCAGGCUACGUUGCUGGGAGUCUGGGCAUUCAGGUUGUUUGCUGAACCAAAGAAGAGCAAAGUACAACAAGGUGAAGAACACAAGGUCAAAUCUGAAUGACGGGUUCUGUCGCUGGAACUUUGCAACUUCUGUCCCUUCUUGUAUUUAAUCUUUCUCUACUCUUCCAUUCUGUGUAAUGUGGCUGUAUCUGAUAGAAAAUCCUUGUUUAUUUACCAAAUCCUAUUUCCAUUUAAGCAAACUCUGAUCUGACUUCCUCUUGAAUAAUAAUUUGUAUCUUUUGUGCAUGUUUUUGCUCAUCAAAAUGCAAGUGCCUGAUUUUAUUCACAAUCA
Non-coding RNA from Phoenix dactylifera (date palm), 464 nucleotides. The record is from RefSeq and is a predicted model, not a curated record. NCBI's taxonomy places the organism in Eukaryota, Viridiplantae, Streptophyta, Magnoliopsida, Arecales, Arecaceae.